RNAcentral lists this ribosomal RNA (264 nucleotides) under uncultured bacterium. Its description in RNAcentral is "partial 16S ribosomal RNA". It matches the Rfam family "Bacterial small subunit ribosomal RNA", at positions 793 to 1055 of the family's 1533-position model. The record is from RNAcentral.
GUCCUAGCCGUAAACGGUGAUCACUAGGUGUUGGGAGCAUCGACCCUUCCAGUGCCGCAGCUAACGCAUUAAGUGAUCCGCCUGGGGAGUACGGCCGCAAGGUUGAAACUCAAAGGAAUUGACGGGGGCCCCGCACAAGCGGUGGAGCAUGUGGUUCAAUUCGACGCAACGCGAAGAACCUUACCCAGACUUGACAUGUACUGGACUGGUGUGGAAACACAUCUUCCCUUCGGGGCCAGUGCACAGGUGCUGCAUGGCUGUCGU